This 468-nucleotide ribosomal RNA is filed under the name uncultured bacterium. RNAcentral's name for it is "partial 16S ribosomal RNA". It matches the Rfam family "Bacterial small subunit ribosomal RNA", at positions 28 to 508 of the family's 1533-position model. The record is from RNAcentral.
GACGAACGCUGGCGGCGUGCUUAACACAUGCAAGUCGAACGGAAAGGCCCUGCUUUUGUGGGGUGCUCGAGUGGCGAACGGGUGAGUAACACGUGAGUAACCUGCCCUUGACUUUGGGAUAACUUCAGGAAACUGGGGCUAAUACCGGAUAGGAGCUCCUGCUGCAUGGUGGGGGUUGGAAAGUUUCGGCGGUUGGGGAUGGACUCGCGGCUUAUCAGCUUGUUGGUGGGGUAGUGGCUUACCAAGGCUUUGACGGGUAGCCGGCCUGAGAGGGUGACCGGCCGGAUUGGGAGGGAGAGCGGACCCGGACUCCUCCGGGGGCCAGAAGGGGGAAAUGGUGCACAGGGGGGGGAGCCCUGAUGCCGCACCGGCGGGGGGGGGAUGACGGCUUUGGGUUUGAAAACCGCUUCCGCGGGUGAAGGAGGGGGGGGGAGGGAAGGGGGAAAAGAGGCACGGGCAAACGAGGGC